This 496-nucleotide ribosomal RNA is filed under the name uncultured bacterium. RNAcentral describes it as "partial 16S ribosomal RNA". It matches the Rfam family "Bacterial small subunit ribosomal RNA", at positions 29 to 507 of the family's 1533-position model. The record is from RNAcentral.
AUGCACGCUGGCGGCGUGCCUAAUCCAUGCAAGUCGCGCGAACGGACGAGAAGCUUGCUUCUCUGAUGUUAGCGGCGGACGGGUGAGUAACACGUGGAUAACCUACCUAUAAGACUGGGAUAACUUCGGGAAACCGGAGCUAAUACCGGAUAAUAUUUUGAACCGCAUGGUUCAAAAGUGAAAGACGGUCUUGCUGUCACUUAUAGAUGGAUCCGCGCUGCAUUAGCUAGUUGGUAAGGUAACGGCUUACCAAGGCAACGAUGCAUAGCCGACCUGAGAGGGUGAUCGGCCACACUGGAACUGAGACACGGUCCAGACUCCUACUGGAGGCAGCAGUAGGGAAUCUUCCGCAAUGGGCGAAAGCCUGACGGAGCAACGCCGCGUGAGUGAUGAAGGUCUUCGGAUCGUAAAACUCUGUUAUUAGGGAAGAACAUAUGUGUAAGUAACUGUGCACAUCUUGACGGUACCUAAUCAGAAAGCCACGGCUAACUACGUG